RNAcentral lists this ribosomal RNA (494 nucleotides) under uncultured bacterium. RNAcentral describes it as "partial 16S ribosomal RNA". It matches the Rfam family "Bacterial small subunit ribosomal RNA", at positions 28 to 507 of the family's 1533-position model. The record is from RNAcentral.
GACGAACGCUGGCGGCGUGCUUAACACAUGCAAGUCGAACGGUGAAGCGCCUUCCUUUUUGGUGGGUGUGGAUGAGUGGCGAACGGGUGAGUAACACGUGAGUAACCUGCCCCCUUCUUCUGGAUAACCGCAUGAAAGUGUGGCUAAUACGGGAUAUUCUGGGUCUGUCGCAUGAUGGGUCUGGGAAAGAUAUUGUUUCGGUGGGGGAUGGGCUCGCGGCCUAUCAGCUUGUUGGUGGGGUGAUGGCCUACCAAGGCGGUGACGGGUAGCCGGCCUGGGAGGGUGGACGGUCACACUGGGAAGGAGACACGGCCAAGACUCCUACGGGAGGCAGCAGUGGGGAAUAUUGCACAAUGGGCGCAAGCCUGAUGCAGCGACGCCGCGUGAGGGAUGGAGGCCUUCGGGUUGUGAACCUCUUUCGCCAGUGAAGCAGGCCUGCCUCGUUUGUGGGUGGGUUGACGGUAGCUGGAUAAGAAGCGCCGGCUAACUACGUG